UAAGAUGCAUCUCACAUGGGCCAUGCCAGGUCCUACAUCUGUUUUGAUACCUUGAUAAGAGUAUUGAAGGAUUACUUCAAAUUGGAUGUCUUUUACUGUAUGAACAUCACAGAUAUUGAUGGUAAGAUCAUCAGGAGAGCCCAGCAGGACCACCUGUUCCAGCAGUACCCGGAGAAGCAGCCCCCGGCCAUGCAGUUCCUGGAGGAUGUGCACGCCCUCAAGCUAUUUUCAGUAAAAUUAAACAAGACCACAGAUCCCAGUAAAAAAGCAGAUGCUCCAAUGGAAACGGCACGCAGUGAGGCUUGCCACAGAGCCGCUGGAGAAAGCUGUGCAGUCCAGACUCACAGGGGAGGAAGUAGACAGCUGUGCGGAGGUAUUGCUGCAAGAGGCCAAGGAUUUGCUUUCUGACUGGCUGGAUUCCACAUUUGGCAGUGAGGUGACUGACAAUUCCAUUUUCUCCAAACUGCCCAGGUUCUGGGAAGGAGCGUUCUGCAGACAUGUCAGCUCUGAACGUUCUCCCUCCAGAUGUCUUCACCCGCGUUAGUGAGUAUGUGCCAGAAAUCAUGAACUUUGUCCAGAAGAUUGUGGACAAUCCUUAUGGCUAUGUGCCCAUUAGGUCUGUUUACUUUGAUACAGUGAAGUUUGCUUCUAGCGGGAAGCACUCCGAGGGGAAGCUGGUGCCCGAGGCUGUGGGGGAUCAGAAAGCUCUUCAGGAGGGGGAAGGUGACCUGAGCAUCUCCGCAGACCGCCUGAGAGAGAAGCGCUCACCCAACAACUUGGCCCUCUGGAUGGCCUCCAAGCCAGGGGAGCCAUCCUGGCUGUGCCCUUGGGGGAAGGGUCAUCCGGGCUGGCACAUUGAGUGCUCUGCCAUGGCAGACACCCUCCCGAGAACCUCGAUGGACAUCCACGGAGUGGGCUUCGACCUCUGGUUUCCCCACAACAAUGAACUGGCACAGUUGGAGGCCUACUUUGAAAAUGGCUGCUGGGUCCGGUACUUCCUCCACACAGGCCACCUGACCAUUGAUGGCUGCAAGAUGUCGAAGUCACUGAAAAACUUCAUCACCAUUAAAGAUGCCUUGAAAAAGCAUUCAGCACGAGAGUUGAGGCUGGCCUUCCUCAUGCACUCCUGGAAAGACACGCUGGACUAUUCAAGCAACACCAUGGAGUCGGCACUUCAGUACCAGAAGUUCCUGAAUGAGUUUUUCUUAAACGUGAAGGAUAUCCUUCGAGCUCCUGUCGAUGUCACUGGUCAGUUUGAAAAAUGCGAAGAUGAAGAGGCAGAGCUGAACAAGAACUUUUAUGACAAGAAGACAGCCGUUCACGAAGCCCUGUGUGAUAACGUUGACACCCGCACGGUGAUGCAGGAAAUGCGGGCUUUGGUCAGUCAUGCAACCUCUACCUGGCGUCCCAGAGGGAGUGAGGAGAAAGCCCAACCGAGCUCUGCUGGAGAGCAUCGCCCUGUACCUCACCCACAUGCUUAAGAUCUUUGGGGCCAGAGAAGAGGAAAGCUCCCUGGGCUUCCCAGUCAGAGAGCCGAGAACCAGCCUGGAUCUGGAGGCCCAGUCAAGCCCUACCUGCCGCAGGUGUUACUGGAGUUCCGAGGAGGAGUGCGGAAGAUGGCCCGAGAGAAGAACGUCCUGAGGUCCUGCAGCUCUGCGAUGCCCUGCCGCACCACGCCCGCCCGAGCGUGGGGUGCAGUUUGAAGACCAUGAAGGACUACCAACGGUGGUCAAAUUGGUAGACAGAGACACCUUGCUAAAAGAGAGAGAAGAGAAGAAAAGGUUGAAGAGGAGAAGAGGAAGCAGCCUGAAGAAAGCAAGAGCCAGAAGCGGCCAAGAUGAAGGUUUCCCCCAGUGAGGUGUUCUUGUCAGAAAGUGACAAAUAUUCCAAGUUUGGUGAAAAUGGCCUUCCCACGCACUAUACAGAAGGCGAAGAACUGAGCAAAGGGCAAGCCAAGAAGCUGAAGAAACUCCUCGAAGCUCAGGAAAAGCUGUACACGGAGUACCUGCAGAUGGUACAGAAGCUGCCCGUGAGGACGCCCGGACUGACUCUAAACCAAGCCGUCGUGGCCCAGCGGCUUUUCUCUGCCUCAGUGAUGACGUCCCGGGGCUCUGAACAUGUUUGCAGUUGUCCUUGCGUCCUAAAUUAA
RNA transcript from Nycticebus coucang (slow loris), 2149 nucleotides. It is a transcript of the gene named cysteine--tRNA ligase, cytoplasmic-like, with no coding region annotated. Lineage: Eukaryota; Metazoa; Chordata; Mammalia; Primates; Lorisidae. The transcript has a single exon. The record is from RefSeq and is a predicted model, not a curated record.